GAUGAACGCUGGCGGCGUGCCUAAUACAUGCAAGUCGAGCGAACGGACGAGAAGCUUGCUUCUCUGAUGUUAGCGGCGGACGGGUGAGUAACACGUGGAUAACCUACCUAUAAGACUGGGAUAACUUCGGGAAACCGGAGCUAAUACCGGAUAAUAUUUUGAACCGCAUGGUUCAAAAGUGAAAGACGGUCUUGCUGUCACUUAUAGAUGGAUCCGCGCUGCAUUAGCUAGUUGGUAAGGUAACGGCUUACCAAGGCAACGAUGCAUAGCCGACCUGAGAGGGGGAUCGGCCACACGGAAACUGAGACACGGUCCAGACUCCUACGGGAGGCAGCGGUAGGAAAUCUUCCGCAAUGGGGGAAAGCCUGACGGAGAAACGCCGCGUGAGUGAUGAAGGUCUUCGGAUCGUAAAACUCUGUUAUUAGGGAAGAACAUAUGUGUAAGUAACUGUGCACAUCUGGACGGUACCUAAUCAGAAAACCACGGCUAACUACGU
Molecule: ribosomal RNA, 496 nt
Filed under: uncultured bacterium
Lineage: Bacteria
Description: partial 16S ribosomal RNA
Rfam family: Bacterial small subunit ribosomal RNA
Source: RNAcentral